This 72-nucleotide transfer RNA is filed under the name Camelus bactrianus (Bactrian camel). It matches the Rfam family "tRNA". From Rfam's summary of the family: Transfer RNA (tRNA) molecules are approximately 80 nucleotides in length. Their secondary structure includes four short double-helical elements and three loops (D, anti-codon, and T loops). Further hydrogen bonds mediate the characteristic L-shaped molecular structure. tRNAs have two regions of fundamental functional importance: the anti-codon, which is responsible for specific mRNA codon recognition, and the 3' end, to which the tRNAs corresponding amino acid is attached (by aminoacyl-tRNA synthetases). tRNAs cope with the degeneracy of the genetic code in two manners: having more than one tRNA (with a specific anti-codon) for a particular amino acid; and 'wobble' base-pairing, i.e. permitting non-standard base-pairing at the 3rd anti-codon position. Lineage: Eukaryota; Metazoa; Chordata; Mammalia; Artiodactyla; Camelidae. RNAcentral also lists the same sequence under 2 other names. The record is from Rfam by way of RNAcentral.
GAGGGUAUAGCUCAGUGGUAGAGUGUCUGCCUAGCAUGUACAAGGUCCUGGGUUCAAUCCCCAGUAAUUCCA